This 491-nucleotide ribosomal RNA is filed under the name uncultured bacterium. RNAcentral describes it as "partial 16S ribosomal RNA". It matches the Rfam family "Bacterial small subunit ribosomal RNA", at positions 28 to 507 of the family's 1533-position model. The record is from RNAcentral.
GAUGAACGCUGUCUACAGGCUUAACACAUGCAAGUCGAGGGGAAACGACGGGGAAGCUUGCUUCCCCGGGCGUCGACCGGCGCACGGGUGAGUAACGCGUAUCCAACCUGCCUCUGACUGAGGGAUAACCCGUCGAAAGUCGGCCUAAUACCUCAUGGCAUCGUCUGCGGGCAUCCAACGACGAUUAAAGAUUUCAUCGGUCGGGGAUGGGGAUGCGUCUGAUUAGCUUGUUGGCGGGGUAACGGCCCACCAAGGCUACGAUCAGUAGGGGUUCUGAGAGGAAGGUCCCCCACAUUGGAACUGAGACACGGUCCAAACUCCUACGGGAGGCAGCAGUGAGGAAUAUUGGUCAAUGGGCGGGAGCCUGAACCAGCCAAGUAGCGUGCAGGAUGACGGCCCUAUGGGUUGUAAACUGCUUUUAUGCGGGGAUAAAGUGAGGGACGUGUCCUUCAUUGCAGGUACCGCAUGAAUAAGGACCGGCUAAUUCCGUG